CCUACGGGAGGCAGCAGUGAGGAAUAUUGGUCAAUGGACGAGAGUCUGAACCAGCCAAGUAGCGUGAAGGAUGACUGCCCUAUGGGUUGUAAACUUCUUUUAUAUGGGAAUAAAAUGUUCCACGUGUGGGAUGUUGUAGGUACCAUAUGAAUAAGGAUCGGCUAACUCCGUGCAAGCAGCCGCGGUAAUCCGGAGGAUCCGAGCGUUAUCCGGUUUUUUUGGGUUUAAAGGGAGCGUAGGUGGUUUGUUAAGUCAGUUGUGAAAGUUUGCGGCUCAACCGUAAAAGUGGAGUUGAAACUGGCAGUCUUGAGUACAGUAGAGGUGGGCGGAAUGUGUGGUGUAGCGGUGAAAUGCUUAGAUAGCACGAAGAACCCCGAUUGCGAAGGCAGCUCACUGG
RNAcentral lists this ribosomal RNA (397 nucleotides) under uncultured bacterium. Its description in RNAcentral is "partial 16S ribosomal RNA". It matches the Rfam family "Bacterial small subunit ribosomal RNA", at positions 338 to 732 of the family's 1533-position model. The record is from RNAcentral.